UACGUAGGUGGCAAGCGUUGUCCGGAAUUACUGGGUGUAAAGGGCGUGUAGGCGGGAAGACAAGUCGGAAGUGAAAUCCCAUGGCUUAACUGUGGAGCUGCUUCUGAAACUGUUUUUCUUGAGUGUCGGAGAGGAAAGUGGAAUUCCCAGUGUAGCGGUGAAAUGCGUAGAGAUUGGGAGGAACACCAGUGGCGAAGGCGGCUUUCUGGACGAUAACUGACGCUGAGGCGCGAAAGCGUGGGGAGCAAACAGG
This 253-nucleotide ribosomal RNA is filed under the name uncultured bacterium. RNAcentral describes it as "partial 16S ribosomal RNA". It matches the Rfam family "Bacterial small subunit ribosomal RNA", at positions 524 to 776 of the family's 1533-position model. The record is from RNAcentral.